Molecule: long non-coding RNA, 7991 nt
Filed under: Canis lupus familiaris (dog)
Lineage: Eukaryota; Metazoa; Chordata; Mammalia; Carnivora; Canidae
Description: lncRNA (ENSCAFG00845012325.1)
Source: RNAcentral
UUUUUCUUUUUUUAUUUCAGUAUAGUUGAUAUACAAUGUUACAUUAGUUUUAUAAUAUCUUUAUCCAUAGUAUUUCAAUUUAAAUUCAAAAUGAUAAUGCGUAUGAAUUGUAUACUUUCAAAAUCACCUUAUUUUCAAGUUUUGCUUAUAGGUUUUGAAAGUAAAUAUAUUAAUAUUUAUUAUUAUUAAUAUUUUAACACGUCUUUAUUCACAACCAUACUUAACCAGGGUAAACAGCCUACUAUUUGAUCUUCCAUAGGUUUACCUUUCUCCAAUUCAGUAUCUAUUCUAUAGUUAGAGAGCUACUUCCAAAACCAGAAGUCUGAUUAUGUUUCUCCUUGCAUUGGAAAUGCUUUCAUGUCCCAGAUAGUCCAAAGUCCUUUCCACGGUUUGCAGAUCAUUCCUUCCUGAUGUUUCCUCAUCUCUUCUAUCUCGCCUCCCUCCAUUCUCAAUUCUAUCUAUCCUAAAGCCCCAAAAUGCCAUUCUACGUUCCAGGUAUGUCAAACUUGUUUUAGUUUCCCUUUAACCAUGCAUCUUUGUGAAUGUUGCUUACUCUAUGUCUCUGUUUAUAGAUCCCCCCACCCCACUUCAACACCCCAUGUUCUUUAGGGUUAGUACUUAAUUUAAAUGUUAACUAACCCAAUGCCUUUCCUGAUCAACUCUACAGUCUCUCCUCCAACAGUAUGAGGUAGCUAUCCUUCCUUUUUCUCCUAAUAUACCCUGUACCUGCCACUCUCAGAGCACUUACCAGGGUUUAUUUUUACUUGUCAUUUACUUGUCUGCAAACUUCACUAAACUUCAGAAUCUUUGAGCUAUUGAACUAUCUUAUUUAUCAUAGUGUCUCUAGAACCUUGCACAGCCCUUAGCACAUAGUAAAUGUUACAUAAAUAUUUGCUAAAUGAAUGAAUGCAAAUUACUAUUUAGACCUUGGACCUAGUCAAAAUCUUAAGAGCAAUGUUAGAAAGAUCUUAGAGAAAAUACAUCUCAAGAUUGUUUCAAGGACUAAGUGAGGAAAACUCCCAAGCCCAAGAUUAUUCUGAACCUGUGGCUGUGAGAAAGGGGUUUUACCCACAGAAAAAGAGAUACUCAUGGUGAAGUAGAUCUUGAAAAAUAAAAUCUGGUAUAAUAAGUCCUAAUUAUUUUAGAAUGAAGACCUGCUAUUCCUGGAAAAGCUAAGCAGGUAGGUAUUAGUUUUCUUCAUAACAAAUGAAAGAAAGAAUUCAGCUAUACAAGGUAGAAACAAAGUUAACAUAUUUGUUUGGGGUAGGUUACUUGAAUAAGUAAAUUCUCCUCUUUCACCCAAUUUCAACCAUAAAAUAGAGGGAAAGAUUGAAUUUUUCUUCGAGAUCUCUGAUGACUGAUUUCUUUUUAAUGAGUCUAGAAGACAACUCUCACCUCUAUUACCUACUAUUGCAAAAUCUCCCUAAAGGUAUGUCUUUUUUCUGUUCUGAUACAUCCUCCACACUACUAAAACUUUCAUUUCUGAAAUUAAAAAAUAAUCAUAUCAUCAAUCAUUUAUACAUUCCAACCACUGCCUUAUACCUCCUUGAUGCUCCAGCAUGGACAUGGACUCAUGUUCAAUCAAUCAAAUAAUUUACCUCCUCUCCCUUGGAUUUGUCCAUGACCCAUCAGCUCAAAAUUUUGGGCAGAAUGAUUAGAAAAGAGAUACUUUCUUGCCACUGCUAUUAGUAGGCUGGUAGGAUAUCAGUCUUAUGUGCAUGUGGUAAGAGCCAGUCUGUAAAGGAAGAUGGUACAAAGAGAGCAAGGCAAAGAGGUAUAAUAAGGAAAAGACAUGUUCCUGAUUUCACUGUUUUGAGUACUCCGGUUCAGAUGUUAAUGCUAUCUUACAGUUUUCAGUUUUAUGAGUUGGUUUACUAUCACUUCAAUAGUCCUAUAUUAUAUUUAGAUUUUAAGGUAAAUCUCAACAUCUAUGUUUAACAAUGAGAAGAAAUGACACCUCUUUUAAGAUUGUUGUUAAAAUAAUGUAUGAAAAAUUGAAUAGCAUAUUGUGUUGACUUGCAUGGGCUUUCAAUACAUACUACCUUCUUUCUUUUCUUAUCUGAAUAUAUAUAUAUAUAUAUAUAUAUUUUCUAUCUGAAUAUAUAUACAUAUAUAUAUAUAUAUAUAUAUAUUUAUAAUCUUGGUAGUUCUAUUAUCCUUCCAUGGAAGAUCAAAGUACUGUCUAUAUUAUGAAAUAAAUUCACAAGGCAAAUGCUUUGUUAAAGUGUAGACUGAAAAGCUUAUUUAUGUGAACAAGGAAAAGUUUCAAGCUUGAGACAUGCUUGGGCUCCACAUUCUUUGAAUCCUGAUAGUCUAUAUUGCUGGCUGCUCUUUUACACUUACUAUCACAGUUAAUCCUCACGAUAAUCCUAUUAGAGAGGUCUUUAUUAUGCGUAUUCUUAGUGACUGAGCUAUAUUAGUUUCCUUGCUUUUUCUACCUUCUAGAGGCUGCCUGCAUUCCUUGGGCUCACACUGACCUCUGCUUCUGUCACUUUGCCUUGAUCUCUGACUUUGACAUCCCUGUUUCCCUCUAAUAAAGACUCUAUAAUCCCCGCCCCCCCAAGACUCUUAACUUAAUCACAUCUGCAAAUUCAUUUUUUACCGUUUCAGAAAACAUAUUCAGAGGUUUUAGGGAUUAGAAUGUGAACAUAUUAGGGAGAGAUGAGCAUCAUCCAGCCUAUAAUAUAACCAACAUUUAUAGAAAUUAAAAGACAUGUUCAUAGCCACAUAGAUGGUUACUAUGAAGGCUGGAUUUCAACUCCAGCCAGGAUAGUCUAAUUCCAAAGUGUGGGCUCUCAUCUAUCAUGUCUAUGAGAUGUAGCCAGUGCUUCAUGGCACACUCUACAAUAUGAUAAAAAUAUAGAAAACAUAGUAUAGAUUUACUCACUGUCAGUCUCAAGAAUAGUGUGGUCCUGCCUGAAGCUUUUUUUCUCAGCCAUAAGCUGUAGAAAAGUGAGUCUGUUACUUGGAGAAGUGCAUCUGUGUGCUUUCUCCAGGCAGUCAUGAGACUUCCAUGUCCUUAUGAUUUAUACUGUAUACAAAUCUUGGCACCCAGUUAGUUUCCUGUUGGCAAAAUGACUUCGCUAUAUACAUCAUUCUUAUCUUAAAUGUUUGUGAAAGUCAGUCAACAAGCAUUUAUCGAAUGCCUAAAAAAGCAUUUCACAUAAAUCAAUAUGCUAUAAGAUAAUCACUCAAAUGUCACCAAUAAAAGUGAAAUUCCUCAAAUGAAAGUUUUCAAAUGUAUAGAUUGUAAAAAUUCACACAUAAAAUAUGAUUGCAUGGCUAAAUUAUCCUUAAUGACCUGAAGCUUUAGAAGAUGUCUAAAUAUCUGUAUGUCUAUCUACCUACCUGCCCCCCCCACAAUACAUACAUGUUUAAGUAAAAUAUUUUCAGUGAAUCUAUUCAUUUUUUAAAGAUGUAACAUCUAACACAUGAUAGGAGCAAAAUAAAUAAUUAAUCAGAAAAACAUUUGCUGAACUAGGAGGUACUAUGAGUUGCAUUCUAAAGUAUAAAAAUGCACUCUACCAUUGAGGCCUCUUAGAAAUGAGAAUGCCAAGUUACAAAUUGUUUCCUGGAUGUAUUACACGCUGAUAAAGGAAACUUUAACAUCGAGCUCCAUCUGACUGGAAUGCUCUCUCCAAUCUCUUCGCCUAGUUAACUCAUACUGACUCCUCAAGUGUCACCUUCUCCAAGAAACCUCUCAUUCCCACAAAAUGAAUGAGAUGCCCCAUUUGCAUGCCAUCAUAGCACUCAGUACUUGCUUUUAUUGUGACACAGAUUAUCAUUCAGGUUAGCUGGCUAUGGAUCUGUGUUGCCUACUGUAACACGAUCUACAUGAAGACAAGGCUGCAUCUUAUCUACCGGUCUGUAGUUUCUAGCAUAGAGUCUGACUGGAAAGAAAGAAAAUGCUAUAAAAGCUAGAAGAUGAAAAGUCUAAUAGUGUAUAGAGACAUUUUAGUUUCCUGCAGCACUGGAAUUCUCAAUGCAAGUACUUCUCAGAACCAUAUUCUUUUUUUAUCCCCAGUUGAUGAAACCCCUGCACUUUUAGUGAUAUUAGUUCAGAAUGUGGGAAUCAAUGUUUUUCUCAAGUGGAGGCAUAUAAAUUAUAAGCAUAAUUCUUUAUGGAUAGUAAUAAAAAUACCAAUUAUGUAAGAAUCAUGGCCCAGUAAGAAAUUAAGCUUUUCAAAUUAGCCAGUAUUACUGGCAGAUGCACGCCAGCCCUCACCCCUUAGGGACUUGGAGACCUAGGGAAUGCACAUGGAAAUAGGCUGCAUCUGUUCCAGUUCUGGGUGGUCAAACUCGCUUCUAAAAAUAUUCUCUAUCCUGGAUGAAAUACGUUAAUAAUGUAAUCUACCACAUUCUGUAGUGGGGUGUGUGCAUCUAUAUUUGAUUUUCAUCUGCCAAACUUUAAAUGACACAAAAUGUCAGAAAAAGCUUUAGAGUUUUGUCCUGUGCAGAAGUAGAAAUACUGGAAAUAUUGGCCUUAGAGACAGAGGGAACAUUUAUAAAUCUACAUUAUGUUCAGGAGAGAGAAAAAAAUGGCUGCAGCAUAAAAUGAAAUUGGACUGGUAGGUGUUGAAUAUUGGAAGUUAAGUUUGGAAAGGUGGAUUGGACCUUGAUAUUAAACGGCAUUGCAAACCAAGUUAAAGAAUAAAUGCUAACCAAAAAUGACAUAAAAGGAUUUUUAAACAUAUUUAGUAAUUAGUUACUGUUUAAAAGCCAUUUAAGGUUAAACUGUUUUGCUGAUUUGUCAAGCCUCUUUAAUUUAACUACUUCCCAUUGUUCAUCUUUCCAGAACACUGUCUUUGCUGUUAUCUGAUAAUAAAACAUACAUAAGAAAUUUCACACAAAUGUGAAAUAUUCCAGGCCCAGGCUAAGAGCUAUCUCGUGUGUGAGACAACACUAAAUUCUCACUCAUUAAGUAUCCCUCUAAUAUUCUUUCUAUUUGAAGUUUCUUGAAAGUAUCAUACUUUUUAAUAUAGUUUUGUUUACACCUGUCUUUCCUACUAGAAUAUGAACCCCUUAAACAUAGAAGACAUAUCUAAUCUCCAGGGACCGCAAAAAUGAAAACAAUAUUAAUAAUUGUCAAUAACUACGUAAUGUUUACCGUAUGAUAGGGACAUUUCUAAGCAUGUUACAAACUCAUUCAGUAUUUUGAGAUAAUAAAAAUGUGACAGAGAGAGGCACAAGAUCAUAUAUUUUGGAUGAGUCAGAUUAUUAUCCAAAAAUUCUGGCUACAGAGCUCUUGUUCUUAAAUAUAUGUGAUGUUUCUUUACCAAAACCAGGGAUGAUGUUUCAUACAUGCUAUAAUCAAAUAAGGAUGAUGAUGAUGAUGAUGAUGACUGAUGAUGCUGUCUAUUUACCCAGUCUUACCCUUAAAAAAUAUAAGUGAUUUAUUAAAACAAAUAUUUACUAUGGUAUGUUAUAGUUCAAAUAGUUUGUAUUUUCUCAGGACUCAAAAGCAAAGCAGUCUCUGCUCUUGUAGACCUUUUAGUCACAAGAGAUUAUAUAUCUAUAAAAUGUCAUUUACAAAUAAACUCUUACUCAUUUAAAAUGGUAUCAAUAGCCAAAUUAUGUCUUCAGUCAAAUUUUUAAUGACAAACAUAUACCUGGAUUACUGCUGAUUAUUUUAGUGAAUUCCUAUAUCCUUUUGGACAUUUUAUUGCUACCUGGCAUUAUCAAGAAAACAAAUUUUAGGGCUGUGUGUUUGAGAAAUUUUAACAAAUUACUUCAGAGAAAAUUGUUUCCCUGUUCAUCAGGUUUUAUAUAUCAGAAAGAAUACCUAAACCAGAUAGAAAUUCUUCAAAUGCAAGAGGGAAUGAUUUUAGUCCCAGAAGCAAGUCUUUGAUACAACAAUUCUUGACAUUUGAAUUCAUCACAAUAUAACUGCUUGGGAAAUAGCUGCUUACCUAUCAAACUUAAAUGUACUCUCUCAUUCAUAAGAAGUGUUCAAUCACAUGUUAGUUUCUUAUGUUUCCAGUUCAGUACCAGAAAUAAGCCAUUAUUUUGCUCUUGAUUUAAAAUACAUAUUUAUGCACUUCUUAUGAAUUACUUAAUUUGGUGUUAAAUGAAAUACGGAUAUACUGGUACUGAAAAGAGUUCUUUUUGAAAGGUGAGAGGUAAAAGAAUCAAAACCCAUGGCUGCUUCUUUGGACCCAUUAAAUGGUUGUUCAGUUUCACCCACACAGCUAGUUAAUGACUAGUUAUUUCCAGACUAAAUUUCAAAAGGUCCUUUAUAGUAUUUUUCUAAAAUCUCCUAUAUUAUUGUUCUCUCUAAUAUGACUACCAAUCAGAUGCUGCUUAAUUGAGGUAACAAACACAUGUGUCAAAUGUUUUCAAGAGAAAUAUCUCAACAAAUCCCAUAUACUUCAUUUAAAAACUCAAACUAAUUUUAAAAUAUAUUAAGUAACCAAACAUAAUAUCAAAUACCCUUUCCACUUUAAAAACAGCAUGUUUACAUAAAAAUGCACUUGUCUAUACACAAUGACUUGGUCUCUCACUUUGCAAUUUCUGUAUUUUCUAUGCAUUGAUUUAAUUUCUCUUCCACUUUUAUUCAUUCUAAUUUCUCUAGGUUUUCAUGGGCCAUUUUCAAAAACUCAUAACUUUUUUAUUUUAGUAUAUUCACAACUGAUACUUAGAAUGUAGGUUAUAAUUGCUCAACAUUAUCAUAUUUGCUUGUGGUGAUACCAAAUAGCAUUGUCUCAUUUGCAAAAUGAGUACUUAAAAGAAAAAUGCUACAGGAACAAAUCAACUUUAUUAUAACAUGUUAAUAGGCCGGUAAGGUGGUAUUGAAUAAGUCUACUUAAGUCUACUUUAACUCUUAUAUUUCCUUUUGUAUUCUCCAAAGGAGAUGGUUAAAAAUGUAUUGCUAACACAUCUGUGUAAAAGAAAACUAUUAAAUAGACAUUAAUAUAAAUCUGUUUCUAAAUCAUAAUUAAAACUUAUAUGUAAUUGUAUUUUCAAUGGCUCUCCCAAGAUAUAUUGCAUUAUUCAAUGAAGUAAUAUGAGAGAUGAAAACACCAACAAUUCCUCUUGAAUAAGCCAUCUGAUUUAUUAUACAUUUAAGUCAAGAAUAAAUUCUUUCUGCUGUAUUGCUUCUCAGCUAAGUUACACAGAUUCAUAAGGAGCAUAGACCCACAGAAUGUCUAAAUUAUUUAUUAGAAAAGAAACAAGAUUUCCCUUGGUUUAUGUUAAAACCUGUGACUUCACAGUGAUGGUUUUUCAAAUUGAAUGAUAUGUGAAUAGCGACAGAAAAUGCCAACUGCCAUUAAAAUUGUCAAAUCAACUAUCAAAAAAUACUCAGUUUGCAAUUAGCUCCCAGAUACAAUUAAAUUCUAGUAAACUUGAUUAUUAAAUGUGCAUACUACAAUACUAGGAAACCUAACAUUUUCUGACUGGAUUUUAUUACUUUGAUACAUCAAAGAAACUAAAUACUUAAUACCAUUCAAAUUCUGGAACAAGAAUGAAUCAUUCAUUUCCAUAUUUCUAAGGAUUAUAUGAGAAGAAAAUUUCAGAUGCAUUCCAUAUUUUUCAUGGAGUGCUAAGAAAUUUUAAAAAUAUAAAAUCUAAGCAAAUUACAUUGUUUAUAGAAGUUAAAAUCCAUUGUCCCUGUCAAGCUAGCUUUCCUAUUUUUCCUUCUUUUCUUUAUUCAUAUGGAUCCUCAUUUUCCUCUAAGAUAUGAUUCAUUGACAACACAAAGACUGAGCGUUCUCCAAAUUACUUAAUUCAAUUAUUUUUGCCACUUUGCAGAUUAAACUGUUUCACCUCUCAUUUUAUUUAGUGAUGAAUAAAUAAAAAUAUUUCUCUAUGAACUUCAUCUGCAGGUUAAGAGUAGAAUAUCAUAAUCCCCAUAAGUCAUAGGUUUGGUUUCUAACGUUGAGAACUGGGGUACCAGAAUAUCUACUUUUAAAAAAUGCAUCAUAUUAAGAGAUAUGUGGUCACUUACCAGUCAGUUUACACCUUAUCACCCAUCUCCAAACAAAAUCGACACU